GAUGAACGCUGGCGGCGUGCCUAAUACAUGCAAGUCGAGCGAGCGGACGAGAAGCUUGCUUCUCUGAUGUUAGCGGCGGACGGGUGAGUAACACGUGGAUAACCUACCUAUAAGACUGGGAUAACUUCGGGAAACCGGAGCUAAUACCGGAUAAUAUUUUGAACCGCAUGGUUCAAAAGUGAAAGACGGUCUUGCUGUCACUUAUAGAUGGAUCCGCGCUGCAUUAGCUAGUUGGUAAGGUAACGGCUUACCAAGGCAACGAUGCAUAGCCGACCUGAGAGGGUGAUCGGCCACACUGGAACUGAGACACGGUCCAGACUCCUACGGGAGGCAGCAGUAGGGAAUCUUCCGCAAUGGGCGAGAGCCUGACGGAGCACGGCCGCGUGAGUGAUGAAGGUCUUCGGAUCGUAAAACUCUGUUAUUAGGGAAGAACAUAUGUGUAAGUAACUGUGCACAUCUUGACGGUACCUAAUCAGAAAGCCACGGCUAACUACGUG
RNAcentral lists this ribosomal RNA (497 nucleotides) under uncultured bacterium. RNAcentral describes it as "partial 16S ribosomal RNA". It matches the Rfam family "Bacterial small subunit ribosomal RNA", at positions 28 to 507 of the family's 1533-position model. The record is from RNAcentral.